Non-coding RNA from Plectropomus leopardus (leopard coralgrouper), 217 nucleotides. The record is from RefSeq and is a predicted model, not a curated record. Lineage: Eukaryota; Metazoa; Chordata; Actinopteri; Perciformes; Serranidae.
CCAGAGCGACGAGCGCCUGAAAAGCCUGUCGUUCAGCCACCUGCACCAAAGGUUCCUCCCUCAGCACCAGAACGUCUCCCAGCUAAAGUGCAAGAUGUACCCAGACCAGAGGAACCUGUCAUUCAGCCACCUGCACCAAAGGUUGCUCCACCCAGGACUGAAGCUGUUCCAACCAAAGUUGUCUCAGAACUGGAGACAUCUGAACUGCCAAGAAAAC